AUUACUGGGCGUAAAGCGCAUGCAGGUGGUUCAUUAAGUCAGAUGUGAAAGCCCGGGGCUCAACCUCGGAACUGCAUUUGAAACUGGUGAACUAGAGUGCUGUAGAGGGGGGUAGAAUUUCAGGUGUAGCGGUGAAAUGCGUAGAGAUCUGAAGGAAUACCAGUGGCGAAGGCGGCCCCCUGGACAGACACUGACACUCAGAUGCGAAAGCGUGGGGAGCAAACAGGAUUAGAUACCCUGGUAGUCCACGCCGUAAACGAUGUCUACUUGGAGGUUGUGGCCUUGAG
RNAcentral lists this ribosomal RNA (287 nucleotides) under Vibrio sp. OPT24. RNAcentral describes it as "partial 16S ribosomal RNA". It matches the Rfam family "Bacterial small subunit ribosomal RNA", at positions 550 to 836 of the family's 1533-position model. Lineage: Bacteria; Pseudomonadati; Pseudomonadota; Gammaproteobacteria; Vibrionales; Vibrionaceae. The record is from RNAcentral.